Long non-coding RNA from Scylla paramamosain (green mud crab), 1290 nucleotides. RefSeq lists it as uncharacterized. The record is from RefSeq and is a predicted model, not a curated record. NCBI's taxonomy places the organism in Eukaryota, Metazoa, Arthropoda, Malacostraca, Decapoda, Portunidae. The transcript is spliced from 4 exons.
GCUGUUGCUACUAAUCCCAUCACUUCCAUAGCCACCACAAAGAGUCAGGAAAGGUCAUCACAAAACCACAAGAAGCGACAAUCUGUAUAGUCGAGUCGCUGCUUCAUGAGCGCUCACGAGGAGUCGAGGCCUCAUAGGGUCUGUGCCGGCAGCGUAGGACACUGUAAGAGAGAGCGCUGAGGGAGGGAGUAGUGUUGUCCUGAGUGGCAGAGGAGGGUGUCUGUCUUACGUGUCAGCUUGUACAGGUGUGCGGCCCUCGUGUGUCCCUGGGAGAGUGAGACAGAUGAAAGGGAGACUUGAAGUUGUAGAAAUUAUGUAGAUAAGACAGGACGUGUAGUUAUAUGACUGAAAACGUGAGAUUAACGAGCAUAUUCUGAACACCGACUACUUUCAAAAGGCUCUUGUUGAAGUUACACGGAUGUUUUUUUUUGUGGAUCUAGUCAUAGAUUAAUAAGAUUUCUACAUUAUGAAGUGGAAAAACACUCUUGAGAACCCGAUUUGAAAAUAUUCGUGGUAAGAGCAAAGUGUUUCAGAGUACAGGCCUAAGGAGAAUGAGGCAGCUUCUACGCGCGGCAGCUCUGGGGACGUGCUGCUCGCGCCCGUAUUUUGAGAAGCUUUACUUUCUUGAAUACGAACUACUUUCAAAGACCACUGGGAGAAUAAACCGGGAUAUAUUGUGUUUUUACUAUAUUGAUAAGGUAGAAUACUUGUUUAACUAUCACUAGAAUAAUCAGAGACCUUUGGAAACUACUGUAACCUCCACUAGAGUCUUGAAAGUAGCCGAGACUGGAAGACGAAGUAUCUGCGAAUGUGGUCCCUUUUCUCGUGCUGUGAGAGAGGGUGCGACGCCGCGUGUGCCCGAGCGGUGUGUUCGUGGCUAGUAUGGGUGUUUGGGUUGGGAGAGGGUCGCUGUUGGUGGGAAGACGAACGCGAGGUGGAAGUGUACGAGAAGCAGUGAAGAUGUGUAAUGACAGCGAAGAAAUGCAAGUGAAGGAUAGAAAAGAGGAAGUGUGUCAAAUAAAGUGAAGGAAGAAGGAAAAUGGAAAGUGCUAUGAAAAGGAGGAAUACAAACCCAAAGAAAUAGGAGAGGAGGCGUGUUGCUGAUAACAGGGUGAGAUCAGAGUACAUCAGGGACAUCCGCCAGGAAGGCCAGUUCCCUGGCAGACCGCAAGGAGGCGCCACCUUCUGCGAAAAGAGAUAUCUGCGGCGCUUGGAAUGUUAAUGAGAGAUGCUGUCAUCGGUGAAAAAAAUAUCUGUAAAUUGCUGUGAAAUUAUGAAAAGAUGCGUAUA